AAAGAAUUAGUUAAAACAUAACAUGAUUUUGUCAGGAUCAAAUUAUCAUAAGAUAUUUUUUA
Molecule: transfer RNA, 62 nt
Filed under: Salina celebensis
Lineage: Eukaryota; Metazoa; Arthropoda; Collembola; Entomobryomorpha; Paronellidae
Description: tRNA-Asp
Source: RNAcentral